Long non-coding RNA from Phacochoerus africanus (Common warthog), 1632 nucleotides. RefSeq lists it as uncharacterized. The transcript has 3 exons. Lineage: Eukaryota; Metazoa; Chordata; Mammalia; Artiodactyla; Suidae. The record is from RefSeq and is a predicted model, not a curated record.
CUCCACUGUUGGGAGAGACAGGCCCUUAGUUUGUGCAGUGGGAACUGGAGCAGUCCCUCAUGCCCACACCCCUUCAGGCCAAGAGAGCUUUAAGCUUCCUUUGGACUUUGUGUGUGUCUAAGCCUUUGCUCAAGCUAUUCCAUCCGUCUGCCUAACCUGUCCAUCCCACACUUCACCUGGGUGAUGCCUCCUGAUUCAAGGUUCCACCAGGAAAGCCUCCUGACUCCCACCUGAGACUGAGUUGUGUGCUCCUCAUCUGGGACCUCAAGAAUGCAACUUGCCUGUUCCACCAUUGGCCUGAACUGCCUGAGGGUCAUGCCGAGUAGCCAGCACAGAGGUGCUCCAUAAAUGUGUAGGAGGAAAUGACUGAGGCAGACAGAUCUGGAGCCCUUAGGAGAUGAGGAAAUCGAGGUGCAGGGAGAUGAAACAAGAUGCCUGGUGUUACACAGCUUCAAAGCAGCAGAGCUGAGAUUGGAGCCCUGUGCUCUGCUGUACCCAAUAGCCAUCCUGAUAUCCUGCUUAGGGCGCUGGCAUGGGGACAGAAAGACACCCUUAGAACGCCUCAACGACUCUGCACAGCCGAAGCACAUCGGUCUCAUCAAGAUUCCUGUGAUUGGCAGAUCUGAACGGGUCGGCAGCCAAUCAACUGACGGUCCAGGAAGGCUUGAGCACCCCACCCCCGCACGUUGACAGCCACUUGGGUAGCUGCUGGGAGUGCUACUGCCCUCUGCUGGGCUUGUCCAGCUAUGAGCCGGCACAGUUAGCUCGCUCUGCUGGGUGGUGGAUGAAGGCGCCGGCGGGAGGUGGUGGGGCCGCCACCUUGGCCAUGGUCUUUCAGAGCUCCCAGUGUUCUUCCUCCUAGUGAGGCAUUUGCGGUUCUCAUUUUCUUAUUUGCCCUUCCAGAAGGAGUCGAUCCAAACACAGGCAUUUACAUAUAUAUAGGUAUUUAACAAGAGUACAAUAGUAUGUGUGAAGCUCUGGUGUAGAUCCUGCAACAUGCAGCCCUCAAAACAACUGGAGGAAAAUAGCCUUACAGUAGAAAUCCUGGCAGACAUCGCCUUAACCAAGGGAUCAAAGUUAACGUCACCAGCAAUGAGUCAUAGUGACAUCAUAAGCCCUUGGUAUGGGAAGGAGACAUCACCUUUCUGGUAUCCUUUCCAGUAAUGCAAAAUCUCCAGUCUAAUCUAGACAAACCAAACUGAGAGGCUACAAAGCUACUGACCAGUACUUUUCAACAGUGUCAAGGUGAACCACCACCACUACCAAAACCACCACCACCCCUUACCACCUUACCCCCCCACUCUUAAAAAAAAAGUCAAGGUCAUGAAAAAUCUUUAGCCUUUAUCACAGGCUAAAGAGUCCAAGAAGACAUGAAAACUAAAUGCAGUGUGGGAUCUUGGAUUGGAUCUGGAACAGAAAAAGGACAUGAGUAGAAAAACUGCAGAAAUCCAAACCAAGUCUGUAGUUUAUUAAUGGUAUUGUGUCAAGGUUAAUUUCUUAGUUUUGAUAAAUGUACUAUGUUUAUGUAAGAUGUUAACAGUAGGGGCAGCUGAGUGAAAGGUAUAUAGGAACUCCGUGCUAUUUGUGCAACUUUUCUGUAAGCCUAAAAUUAUCUCCAAAUAAAAAGUUAAA